AUAUGAUCCAGCAAUUCUGCUCUGGGAAUACAUCCAAAGACAAGCUUCUUUAGAGAGAUGAAGAUGGUUACCACCUGCAUCAUAUGUGUUUAAGGGCCCAGGAAAGCUCACUGCUCUCUAGAAUACUUUUCCAUUCAUUGGAUGACGUCAAAAGUACCAUAUUCUGGGCUUUGGGCCUUUGCGAUGGUAGAAAAGAAUGGAAGAAUCAGAGCCCUUUAUAAGAUAAAUGGACAAAGAAUAAGCUGAAUAGAUACACACACACACAACGGAGUAUUUUUCAGCCAUAAAAGAGAAUGAAAUCUUGCCAUUUGCAACAACAUGGAUGGAGCUACAGAGUAUAAUGAUGCACGUGGCUGCAAGCAACAACAGCAACAGAAAACAAAGUAGGUGACAGGUAAGAAAGAGAACCCGCUAGAAUUAGGAAGAGAAGAUGAAGGAGCAGAACAUCCUCUCCCUGAAAGCCAGGAGUAAGAGUAUGUGAGGAGGGGAGCAGAGGGAGAAUUCAGAACUCUAUACCACAUUACCGCAGUCUGCCACGGCGCUCUCAGUCAGCACGGCCAAAUGAGAAAACAUGGUGGACACCAGAGUUUAUCCUCCAACCACUAACUGCAUGGAAUA
Mustela lutreola (European mink) is the source of this 618-nucleotide long non-coding RNA. RefSeq lists it as uncharacterized. The transcript is spliced from 4 exons. Lineage: Eukaryota; Metazoa; Chordata; Mammalia; Carnivora; Mustelidae. The record is from RefSeq and is a predicted model, not a curated record.